RNAcentral lists this ribosomal RNA (347 nucleotides) under uncultured Thiobacillus sp. RNAcentral's name for it is "bacterial SSU rRNA". It matches the Rfam family "Bacterial small subunit ribosomal RNA", at positions 1029 to 1382 of the family's 1533-position model. Lineage: Bacteria; Pseudomonadati; Pseudomonadota; Betaproteobacteria; Nitrosomonadales; Thiobacillaceae. The record is from RNAcentral.
GGAACACAGGUGCUGCGAUGGCUGUCGUUCAGCUCGUGUCGUGAGAUGUUGGUUAAGUCCCGCAACGAGCGCACCCUUAUCAUUAGUUGCUACGCAAGGGCACGUCUAAUGAGACUGCCGGUGACAAACCGGAGGAAGUGGGGAUGACGUCAAGUCCUCAUGGCCCUUAUGGGUAGGGCUUCACACGUCAUACAAUGGUCGGUACAGAGGGUUGCCAAGCCGCGAGGCGGAGCCAAUCCCACAAAGCCGAUCGUAGUCCGGAUUGUUCUCUGCAACUCGAGAGCAUGAAGUCGGAAUCGCUAGUAAUCGCAGGUCAGCAUACUGCGGUGAAUACGUUCCCGGGUCUU